UUGUGAUUUGGUUGGAAUAUC
RNAcentral lists this microRNA (21 nucleotides) under Brassica rapa (field mustard). Its description in RNAcentral is "bra-miR5720". The record is from miRBase by way of RNAcentral. Lineage: Eukaryota; Viridiplantae; Streptophyta; Magnoliopsida; Brassicales; Brassicaceae.